This 277-nucleotide ribosomal RNA is filed under the name Lactococcus lactis. RNAcentral's name for it is "partial 23S ribosomal RNA". It matches the Rfam family "Bacterial large subunit ribosomal RNA", at positions 1332 to 1611 of the family's 2925-position model. The record is from RNAcentral. Lineage: Bacteria; Bacillati; Bacillota; Bacilli; Lactobacillales; Streptococcaceae.
AUCCACCGUAAGACUAAGGUUUCCAGGGGAAGGCUCGUCCGCCCUGGGUUAGUCGGGACCUAAGGCGAGGCCGAAAGGCGUAGUCGAUGGACAACUGGUUGAUAUUCCAGUACUAGAUAUGAUCGUGAUGGAGGGACGCAGUAGGCUAAGAGAUGCCAGUUAAUGGAUUCUGGUCUAAGCAGUGAGGUGUGAGAUGUGUCAAAUGCAUUUCUCUUUAACAUUGAGCUGUGAUGGGGAAGCAACUACGGUUGCGAACUCUCUGAUGUCACACUGCCAA